GUGGGGAAUCUUGCGCAAUGGGCGAAAGCCUGACGCAGCCAUGCCGCGUGAAUGAUGAAGGUCUUAGGAUUGUAAAAUUCUUUCACCGGGGACGAUAAUGACGGUACCCGGAGAAGAAGCUCCGGCUAACUUCGUGCCAGCAGCCGCGGUAAUACGAAGGGGGCUAGCGUUGCUCGGAAUUACUGGGCGUAAAGGGCGCGUAGGCGGACAGCUUAGUCAGAGGUGAAAGCCCAGGGCUCAACCUUGGAAUUGCCUUUGAUACUGGCUGUCUUGAGUUUGGGAGAGGUGAGUGGAACUCCGAGUGUAGAGGUGAAAUUCGUAGAUAUUCGGAAGAACACCAGUGGCGAAGGCGACUCACUGGCCCAAUACUGACGCUGAGGCGCGAAAGCGUGGGGAGCAAACAGGAUUAGAAACCCGUGUAGUC
This 424-nucleotide ribosomal RNA is filed under the name uncultured bacterium. RNAcentral describes it as "partial 16S ribosomal RNA". It matches the Rfam family "Bacterial small subunit ribosomal RNA", at positions 354 to 795 of the family's 1533-position model. The record is from RNAcentral.